CCUACGGGUGGCAGCAGUGGGGAAUAUUGGACAAUGGGCGAAAGCCUGAUCCAGCCAUGCCGCGUGUGUGAAGAAGGCCUUCGGGUUGUAAAGCACUUUCAGUGGGGAAGAAAGCCUUGGGGCUAAUACCCUCGAGGAAGGACAUCACCCACAGAAGAAGCACCGGCUAACUCCGUGCCAGCAGCCGCGGUAAUACGGAGGGUGCGAGCGUUAAUCGGAAUUACUGGGCGUAAAGCGCGCGUAGGCGGUCUGAUAAGCCGGUUGUGAAAGCCCCGGGCUCAACCUGGGAACGGCAUCCGGAACUGUCAGGCUAGAGUGCAGGAGAGGAAGGUAGAAUUCCCGGGGUAGCGGUGAAAUGCGUAGAGAUCGGGAGGAAUACCAGUGGCGAAGGCGGCCUUCUGGACUGACACUGACGCUGAGGUGCGAAAGCGUGGGUAGCAAACAGGAUUAGAUACCCGGGUAGUC
This 465-nucleotide ribosomal RNA is filed under the name Vreelandella stevensii. RNAcentral describes it as "partial 16S ribosomal RNA". It matches the Rfam family "Bacterial small subunit ribosomal RNA", at positions 338 to 795 of the family's 1533-position model. Lineage: Bacteria; Pseudomonadati; Pseudomonadota; Gammaproteobacteria; Oceanospirillales; Halomonadaceae. The record is from RNAcentral.